This 67-nucleotide transfer RNA is filed under the name Kamimuria klapaleki. Its description in RNAcentral is "tRNA-Ser". Lineage: Eukaryota; Metazoa; Arthropoda; Insecta; Plecoptera; Perlidae. The record is from RNAcentral.
GAAAUGUGGUGACCAAGAAGAAGCUGCUAACUUCUACCUUUAGCGGUUAAACUCCGUUUACAUUUCU